Molecule: non-coding RNA, 71 nt
Organism: Phrynosoma platyrhinos (Desert horned lizard)
Lineage: Eukaryota; Metazoa; Chordata; Lepidosauria; Squamata; Phrynosomatidae
Source: the annotation of a GenBank genome assembly
GCCAACAUGGUGCAGUGGUUUGAGCAUUGGACUAUAACUCUGGAGACCAGGAUUCAAAUCCCGGCUUGGCC